Mauremys mutica (yellowpond turtle) is the source of this 1925-nucleotide long non-coding RNA. RefSeq lists it as uncharacterized. Lineage: Eukaryota; Metazoa; Chordata; Testudines; Geoemydidae. The transcript has 4 exons. The record is from RefSeq and is a predicted model, not a curated record.
CUAAAAGAGACCAGUCAUGUCUCCAAGUUCUCCUGGAGUAGUUUCUACUAAUUAAUAUGUUGGUGAGACAGGCCGGGAUAGAAACCAGCCAAUGCAGGCCAUGAGCACCACAGCAGCGUGGACUCCGAAGGGUCUCUCCUGGAGAAAUGGAAUCGCUAUCCCAGGACUAGCACUCCUAUACCAGCAUAACUGCGUCAACACGAGGGUGCAUCAUUUUAACUGUAUUGGUGGCUCAACCCUUCGAUGCCUUGGCUUCUGACUCUGGAAACAUGGUCUUCAGCUUCUGUCACCUUGGCAUAACUCAGGGAGAAGCCAAUGGAAAGCAGCAACUCAGUUACAAAAGGACUCUGUUACUACAACGACAAAAGGAGCAGCAACAAAGAGUUUUAAUUCUCCACUGCCUCAUGAGAUCUUCCCUCUUUCCCUUAAUAUGGUAGAGAGCUUAUCAGAUUUGCUGUCCUAGAUUCACUUUAGAUCUCUUUGGUUUUACUGCUUUCCACAUAGCUCCUCCCACUGAACAGUUGGGUUGCAGACCUUCCACUCAGAUGUAUUAACUUGUGUUUAUUUAUAUUGCUUCCUGCAUAUAUUUCUAAUUCUACAUACAAGUCUCUGUUUUGUUCCUCUAGACCCACUGCUCUUUGCAACACCUCCUAAUCAGUGUUGGCAUCAUAACAAGGAGGACCCCAAGCUAAUGGAAGGAGAUUGGCAAGGAAAAACACCCCCAAAAACAAAGGCCUGAGUUUCCCUCUUUAGCAGUACCACUGCCAGAAGAGGUUUGGGGUAGGAUUUCUAGUAGUAAAUUGUUUCCUCACUCUCUGGUUUCACUGGUGCAAGGAAGACUGGGUUGAGAAGUUCAUCUUUUCUUUCCCCCACUGAAUACCAUUCCUGAGAGGGAUACAGGACCAUCCUGUGAAAUGCAGAACUUGCACGGGACACAGGACCCCCAGAAGACCUUGCUUAGCUAGUGCUCAAGCAAGGCCUAGUUUUAAUUUGGCAUCAUUUGAGUAUAUUUAUCUCUUCUGGUUAUACAAGUACAAAGUUUCCCAGAGAUCUUAAAUGUUAAAAGUUAACAUACAAAUAAAAGCCAGGGAGAAACGUAAGGGAUAUUUAUUUAGUUUAAAGACCAUCAAUUGUUUUCAUUUCUAUUACUACACCAGUCAUAUUACAUUUUGGCCACAAAUGAUUGUCAUUUGUUGGCUGGUUCAUCCUUGAAUUAUUUCUUCAUUCAUCACUAAUAAACAAAUAUUUUACUUAAAAGAAUACAAGUAUGAAACACUGAGUGGAGAGCAACAAGUUACAAUGAAGUAAUGCAUUGGUGGCAGCCUGUUAAACUCACAAGAAAAAGAUUUCAAUGAUUUAGGAUACUGCAGCAAAACCAAAUGACAAUCAUUCUCAAUUUCUGUAUAGUAUCUGGAGAUGUUUUACAGGUUCAGUGCAGGAUGAGGUAGUCAUUUAUGAUCAUUCAGUGGCAGAGGCAGGUUGAAGUGUAAUAAAUGCUCUUAGUGGUAAUAAGAACAGAUCAUGAACGAGAGUGAAAUUCAAGUUCUAAAUAGCACUUAACAGACAAAAGAGACUCUUGGUUUUUAGAUCUAUAUAUUACCAGAUUGAAUGUAACAGGAAUUUCACAUAGCACAAAGAUCUAAUCCUGGAUACAGAAAUUUACAGACUGGUUUGUCAAACUUUGGUGGUUUGCUAAUAGCUGGCCAGUCAUAUGGUGCUGGCUUCUUCCGCCUUACUCCAGAGUCCAAACAAGUUGUGGUGCAUCAAAACUUCCUGACCCCAUUACUGGAUUUGGCUUUAGUCACAAAAGGACCUCCACAAAAUCCUGCCCAAGCUAUGCUUCAAGGCUUGGCUUCUCCUCUCCUAAGCUCCUCUCUGUAAGGACUGUUCAGCUACACCAUACAUGUGCUCCAGAAAGCCAGUGA